AAACUACAAAUGAAUUGACGGGGCCCGCACAAGCGGAGGAACAUGUGGUUUAAUUCGAUGAUACGCGAGGAACCUUACCUGGGCUUAAAUGUAGAGUGCAUGGGGUAGAAAUAUCCCUUUCCUUCGGGACUCUUUGCAAGGUGCUGCAUGGUUGUCGUCAGCUCGUGCCGUGAGGUGUCGGGUUAAGUCCCAUAACGAGCGCAACCCUUAUCGUUAGUUGCCAGCGGGUCAUGCCGGGAACUCUAACGAAACUGCCGGUGUAAACCGUGAGGAAGGUGGGAUGACGUCAAAUCAGCACGGCCCUUAUGUCCAGGGCUACACACGUGUUACAAUGGCCGGUACAGAGGGCAGCUACCUGGAGACAGGAUGCGAAUCUCCAAAGCCGGUCUCAGUUCGGAUCGGAGUCUGCAACUCGACUCCGUGAAGCUGGAUUCGCUAGUAAUCGCGCAUCAGCCAUGGCGCGGUGAAUACGUUCCCGGGCCUU
This 484-nucleotide ribosomal RNA is filed under the name uncultured Sphingobacteriales bacterium. RNAcentral describes it as "bacterial SSU rRNA". It matches the Rfam family "Bacterial small subunit ribosomal RNA", at positions 896 to 1382 of the family's 1533-position model. Lineage: Bacteria; Pseudomonadati; Bacteroidota; Sphingobacteriia; Sphingobacteriales. The record is from RNAcentral.